RNAcentral lists this long non-coding RNA (359 nucleotides) under Musa acuminata (dwarf banana). Its description in RNAcentral is "long non-coding RNA (MACU_LNC008360)". Lineage: Eukaryota; Viridiplantae; Streptophyta; Magnoliopsida; Zingiberales; Musaceae. The record is from RNAcentral.
ACCCACAAACACAAACUUGUUUCAUAAUUUAACUUACAAUUCACACAUGAUUGAGUCUUUUGUGGUGACUUCCCUUUUCAAAUCCAAAUGUCUUGACCCUUGUUAUCACUUUCUGAUUCAUUUUCAAUCAUAUUUUUAUUGGUAAACUUGUCCUUAUCAUUCUUGCCAUUGAUCUUCAAAAAUUCUUUUCAUUGUUGCCAUUAAUGAUCAACCUCUACUUCCAAUAUAAGGUGGCAAAAGAAAUCUUUCGAUCAUCAGAACAAUUUUGUACAUCAAAUAUCUUCUCUGUUUGCAUCAUCCAUUUUUCUACCACCAAUGAAAUUAGGUUCACCAUGCUUUCAUUGCGCUACUCUGAUUUA